Malaclemys terrapin pileata is the source of this 249-nucleotide long non-coding RNA. RefSeq lists it as uncharacterized. The transcript is spliced from 3 exons. NCBI's taxonomy places the organism in Eukaryota, Metazoa, Chordata, Testudines, Emydidae. The record is from RefSeq and is a predicted model, not a curated record.
GCAGCCCCUGGGAAGCCAGAACCACGCCGCGUCCAGAGCUCCUUCUAGUCCCCCUCAGCGCAUGCAAGCCAUGUAUGAAUUCCAGGCCAGGAACAACAAGGAGCUGACUGUCGUGAAAGGGGAACUGCUGGAGAUUCUAGACCAGAGGAAGAAGUGGUGGCUUGCUAGAAACAGCGCCGGCGAGAGGGGCUAUAUCCCGAAUAACAUCGUGGGGCCAGUGGAUCAGGAGCCUGUGGAGAACAGCAUGAA